Molecule: non-coding RNA, 1706 nt
Organism: Equus caballus (horse)
Lineage: Eukaryota; Metazoa; Chordata; Mammalia; Perissodactyla; Equidae
Source: RefSeq, a predicted model, not a curated record
CCCUACUGUAUACACAGGGCGUGUGGAGCUAGGGAACUAAGAUGUCCUGUUCUGAAGGAGCACAAAUGCAGACGUGAGAAAAAUGGUUUAAAACUGGAUUUCUCUUUAAGGAGGUUAAAUAGAGAGCAGGUAUGAAAGCACAGCAUAGCUGGAGAAAUCAAAGGAUAUGUUAAAGGAACAGCUCAUGCUGGUGGGUGGGUGCAUUUAAAGGGAACGAGCUGAAACCGAGUCUGGCCAGAGGUUCCCUCUUCCUGCUCUGGAGCCUCAUGGCAAUCCACACUCCUCAUACGUCACUCAACAAACCUUGCACCAGGAUGACAGCUAUUUGCACACUUGCUUUACCACCCCUCAUAGAUGACAGCACCAGAGAUGUCCAGGACAGACCUUGGAGCUCUGCUUCUCCUGCUUUGGAGACCUGUUGCUGAUGCUGCCAUCAGCGCCAGCCCCAGCCCAUUUGAAGAGAUUGUUGACAGCAUGAAGCCAUACAAACAACUGUGUCUUCAUAGCAGUGCUCAUCGCAUUCAUUCAAUAAACAUUAGAUGAAUUGAAUUUGUAAACAACUUAUGUUGGUUCUAAUGAGCAUGCAAGAUUGUAUUUGGCAUUCACUGCCACAGACUUUACAAAAACACGAGGGAAGUUGCUCUAGUGAAUGAAAAAAUUACACAGUGAUCGAUUUUGCCAUACAGUCCUUAUUAAGAAUUUAAGAAAAUAACAUCCCUUCUCACUUUGAGAAACAAUAGAUAUUUCUUUUAUUUACUUAUUCUAAUCAAUCCAUGUUUGUCUUUUCAUACAACUUAAAAUUGAGGCAGAAGAGAAAAAUGAAUAGUGGAUAGAAUUGUGACAGAUUCUCUUUCUGGGAAGUUUAAAAACAAAACAGUGACAUCAGCAUCAUGGCAGAGAGGGUUGUUCUUUCCAUGUCUCCCCUCUAAGUAACAACUAAACAGACAUUCAUUAACCAAAACAGGAUUCCCUACACAGUACAACAGGAUGUCUGAGAGAUCCAUGCAGCCAUAUAUCUGAAGGUGAGUGGACUGUAUCCCCAGAAAGCAGUAGAACUAGGUGAGCAGACCCCAUCCUCUCCCCAGCAGCAGCAAUCCAGUUCACAAAUCCUCACACAGUGGCUGGCACGACUGUAAGAGGAGGUGGGGCAGCCCAGCCCAUGUGCAAAUGCUUUCAGAGUGGUAGCCUGGCCCAUGGGAAUGCUCACUAUGCUGUAACAGCUGGUUCACAGGAAUGCUUCCCACUGAGUGAUGGGGGCUCAGCAGCUGUGAAGAAGCCCUGCCCACCAAGUGUAGCAGCUCAGCCAAAUUGCCCAGAGUACAGAGCUGGCCCACAUGAAAGAAAGUGCCCCUCACUUCCUACCUAGUGAAACAGCUCAGCUAAUCUCCUACUGAGCACAGCAGUCCCACCUGCAUGAGAGCAACUCACUGGCAGAGCACAGAGGGCCUGCCUGAACCCAUGAAGUGGCUGCAUCCAGCACAUGCAAAUACAGAGCAACCCUACUGGCACAACUUCCAGCAUUUGGGGCAGGAUUAGAAAACACAGCUCCUAACCCCCCUGCCCCGAGUGGUGGCAGGUGGAAUCUGUGACUUGAUACUAACACAGAUGCACCAGAAAAGGAUCAAUUCAUCAAAAUCCAUGAAGAACUACUUCAGAGCAGAAUGAAAAUGACGUCUCCAGAAACCAAUCCUGAAGUCACAGAAAUG